UUUGUGAGAACUCUGCACGAAGAAUGUUUCUCACUGUCACUUCCUGCCACCGGGCUCGUCUUCCUGUGAAAAUUCAGCCCCUCUUCCUCAGUUACCCCUUUGCAACAGAACGAGGCCGGCAUUUUCUAAAGCGUCCUUGAGGAGUCCAGUUCCUAAAAGAUUAUUUCAGAGUCCACUGUUGUGGGCUGACUUGAAUGCUCUCAAAAUUCGUAAGUUGAAGCCCUGACCCCCAGGACCUCAGAACGUGACUGUGCUUGGACACAGGGACUUUCCAGAGGUGAUUAAGGUGAAGUGAGGUCACUGGAUGGCCCUCCUCCUAUCUGACUGGUGUCCUGAUGGGGACGCGGACACCCACACAGGAACGGACCCGGGGAGAACAACACAUCGUCUCUGCGCCAGGGAGAGAGGCGUCCGGGGAACCCAGCCGUGCCCACGCAUUUAUCUCCGCCUUCCGGCUCAGAAUUGUCUGGGUCACUUGCGACCCUCCUCUCAGGCUGCUUCUGACAGGCCCAAGUCACAGCCAACUUCAGGGGAGCUGUGUUGGAUCCCUCCAAACUCCGGGAAUGAUGUGACCUCCCCGGCGCUCACCCUGGGCCUCUAGGUUAGACUCAGCCCAGACCCUGGCUCACAGGGAAGCAGAGCCCAUGGCUGGCCUCCACCCGCUCAGACGCCCGCACACAGGCCAGGGGAGGGCUUGGGGGCAGCUCUGGGAGGGUCCCUGUUUGCGCUGUGGGUGUCCAAGGCUGGGUGUGCAGAGCUGAGGUUGCCACACACCUGAGGGACUCUCGCAUAAGGAUGGCGCAGGGCUGGAAGCUGGACUGAGACAGUGAAUGAGACAGCGCUGCCGGCUCUCUCCGCGCCGUGGACUGGCUCCUAGGCAGUCUCACGAGCAAGUGUGCUGUUGCUCGUGCACGUGUGUUUUAACUGAGAUGUGAGCUGGCGCGUUUUCUCCACCCGGCUCCAUCUGCUGGGUCCCUCCACAUUGCUGCGCGUGUGCCUCCAGUGCCAUGGGGUCCCCACUGUGGGCAGCCCUGCAUUUUGCCCAACUGCCUCCCAAACCAUGGAACCCCAGUGACCUCCAACUUGCCGCCAUGACGAGCCACUCUCAUUCAUAUCCUCAAACACGGUGCUCUGAGCCCGAAUGAGGGUUUCUUUAGAGAGAUAUCUGGGGACCAAACUGUAGGGACAGAGCUCCCGUCUAAGGUGGGCCUGUGGUGAGGUCUCCCCAGUGGUACACUUUAAUCCCACAGCAGGGCUUGCAGGCCGCCCUGCUCCAUCCCCACCAACACUGGGCAGGAUCUAGCCUCCAAACCUUUGCCAGUCUAAUAGUAUAAAAUGAUAGCUCGGUGCUAUUUUGGUUUUGCAUUUCCAUGGUGAACAAUGAGUUUGAGAGUUUUUGUUCAAAAGUCCUUUGGGAGUUCGAGACCAGACUGGGCCACCAGGAGUUCAAGACCAGCCCGGGCAAUUCAGUGAGAUGUUCAUCUCUACAAAAAAUAAGAAAGAUAAAAAAUUAGCCAGGCAUGUUUGUGUGUGCCUGUGGUCCCAGCUCCUCAGGAGGCUGAGGUGGGAGGAUGGCUUGACCCCGGGAGGUGGAGGCUGCAGUGAGUUGUGAUCGUGUCAGUGCACGGCUAGCCUGGGCAACAGAGUGAGACCCCGUUUCUAAAAUAAAAAUAAAAAACAAAAGAGAAAAGUCCUUUGGGUUUCGUCUUGGUAUUACUCAGCAGAGGACAGAGGUGUCAGUUUCCAUCCUCCGGCAAGCAGAUGCUGAGACAAAGCUCGGUGGGAGGUGACACCCAAGAGGAAGGGGCGGGAUUGGACAGGGACAGCCUUCAGAUCACAAUGGGGAUCGGACCCCUGGGAGGGGAGAGAGGGAGGAAGAGAACUGGUCGGCUGUGAAGCAGAUCUGAUAGGGCCCUGCUGCGACACCAACAGCAGCUCAGGGCCAAGGAUGCUGUUGCAGGAACAAGGGACAGACCCCCCAUACCACUGGCUCAGUGCCUGGAGCACGUGGCCUCUGUGGCUGCAGCCCGAGGCUGUCGGCUGAGGCACUCCACACACCUGGAGAGCACGUUCUCUGUGGAAGGAGACUGCAGCAUUCCCACGGCUCCAGAGCAGUAGUGGCGGCACCUGGAGAAAGAAGUCCACCACCUUCCUGAUGGCGGACUCUUUCUGCAGGCUCGCUGCAGUAACAGACUGGGAGCUCCGGACCUGGCGUAUUGCUAGCUCAGUCUGACGGGGUCCCGGCUUUCCUCUGAGGUUCUCCUCCCAAGAGUGCCGAGAUUGAUGCUGUCCCAUCCAGCGUCUCCGCGGUCACCAGCUCUUCACAUCCCUGGGUGAAGAUGGGGAGACAGUGCGCGUAGCUUACUCCCGAGUGACUUGGGAUAGAAGCCACGGCACAGAACUCUACAAGGGACACUGGUGCACUGAAGAGCAGGGUGCGGUUCUGACCAGAAGCAUCUGUGCAUCUGGAGGGCAGAGGGUGCGUGGGCACGGGGGUCUGGGCAGGCCUCCCAGGGCAGAGGUCAAGAGGAGGGCGGGAGGCCUCUAGCUUGGUGGUUAAGAGCUCAGCCUUCAGAGUUUGUUUUCUCAGCUCUAUCCUUGACGAGCUUCGUGAGCUGUAACUGGCCAGGGGCUGCCCCCAGAAAAGCUGGCCUCCAGCUCCCCGCAUCCUGAGGCCCCAGAUCAAGUUUCUUGGGCCCCAAUUUCCUGUCAUCAAAGAGAUGAUAGUACAUUCCUCAGAGGCGGGCUGUGAAUACAUGAAACGCAAGGUCUUAGGCACCCAGCAUGCGCUCAGGAAGCGUGGCUUGUGAUUACCCGGCAGUGCGGUGGGAGGCUCCUAGCAGCUGUGUGUGCUGUGAGUGGGGUGGCUGGGGUCCCUGUGGGAGGUGCUUCAGAGUGGGGGCUGGAUGGCGGCUCCCGAGGGGCAUGGGGAGAAAGACAGGAGCAGAGGGGCUGCCACGCACUGCCCUUUUCCCCUUCCACCCCAGUCCCCUUCUCAGUGCACCCUUGGAACUUCACCCCCUCCCUGCCAGCUGCCCCCACCGCCUUCCCCUGUCCUGAAGCCCCUGUCCCUACCAUCCGCCCCAGACACUUCCAUGCUCUUCUUGAGGGUGGGCUGUCUCCAGGUGCCGCUCAUUCCCCGGCCGGGCUGCUGUGCUCUCACUGAAGCUCAGGUGCUCUCAGAAGCAGAAGGAAUGAGGGGUGGAGGGGCCAGUGUCCUCCUGGCCUGAGGACAGGGCUGGGGAGGCAGGGGCAGAGGUGGCCUGUCCCCUGCUGGCCAGGGCUGACACGCGGUAAUGGCUAUUACCAAGUGGGCCAUUUCUCCCUCCUGCCCCUCCAGGCAUCUCAUCCCCCCACACUGCAGGAGGUGAGGUCUGCACAAGGCCUCUGCUCCCCUGGGAAUAAGCCCAUGCGUUCCAUGGUGCCUCCUAAGCCCCUGAACUGGAGCCCACCCCAGUACUGGCGGGGGCCUGAUUGCUGGAGUGAAGGCUUCCUCCUUCCUGGCCACCCCAUUCCCCUCAUCUCUGGGACAGAAACCGACAAUAAACGCCUGCCCGAGACCUGGGUUGGAAAAACAGAGUGAACACACACCAUCACAUGGCAGGAGGCCAGGUGCACAGAGCCCUCCCUGCAGUUAGUUCCCCAGGAACUGGGGCUGCAGGGAUGGCCCAGAGCUCUCAGCCAACAUCAAAGGGCCACAGCACCGGGGCUGGUGGCUCCUGGCCAAGUCAGCACCGACCACAGAGCUCCCCUCUCUGCCUAGACCCAGGGCUCUGCCCUGACAGCCUAGAGAAGGGCCUGGCUGGUGGUGCCUGGCUGGGUGGCUCCCUGCCUAGGAGGUGCUUUCCCCAAGCGCUGGGCCUUGAAGGGCCGGUGGGUUGUGAGGGCAAGAGUCUUGCUAGAGGAGAGGGGAGAGAUGGCGAGAUGCAGGACCAGAGCCUGGGGGGGUGAAAAUCAUGUUCACCCCCAUGGUGAAAUCACGGCCAUGGUGAAGACCAGUCCCACCCACUGAGCGGAGCAGAGACCCCUCCCAUUAGCUGCACGCGAUUGCUCCGAGAUAACAAAGCAUUGGCAGAUGCUGGUGGAGCAGGCCUGCCCUUGACGUGGGCAAGAAGCUUGGGGAAAAAGACAAUUUCCUGCUUGUCUUUUCUUGUCAAAAUACAUGGCCACACCAGGGGAAGGACAGGAAGAAUUCUCUUACCAGCCAGCAGCGGCAACUUAGCAGCUACAGACACAGAGCGCAGGGGACGGGCGGGAAUGACUGGCCAUGGAGGAGCCGAGAGAGUCGGGACCUGCAGGAGCUGCCUGCUGAGGCGGUCUGGCUGGGCAGGUGGUCCCUGUGCUGGGGCCUCCGGGUGGAAGGCAUCCCAGCCCCCCGAGGGAACAAGUUUGGUCCGAGAUACAUUUUUGAAAGGUAUUUAAUUCUCUAAAAACAUUUUUAAAAGAAGUGAGACCCACUGGGGAAAGGGAGCUGCUGGCUGCCAGGUGCCUCUCUCUCCUUUUCUCCCGAGAAAGACCUGGCAGCCACUCUGCCGGGGAGACAACCGGGGGCUAGAGGGGCAGGCCCUGGGCCGGGCGCAGUGGCUCACGCCUGUAAUCCCAGCACUCUGGGAGGCUGAGGUGGGCGGAUCACCUGAGGUCGGGAGUUCGAGAUCAGCCUGACCAACAUGGAGAAACCGCAUCUCUACUAAAAAUACAAAAUUAGCCGGGCAUGGUGGCGUGUGC
This 4725-nucleotide long non-coding RNA is filed under the name Homo sapiens (human). Its description in RNAcentral is "HSALNT0275095". The record is from RNAcentral. Lineage: Eukaryota; Metazoa; Chordata; Mammalia; Primates; Hominidae.